UACAGAGGGGGCCAGCGUUAUUCGGAAUUAUUGGGCGUAAAGGGCGCGUAGGCGGCUUUGCGUGUCUUUCGUGAAAUCCCUCGGCUCAACUGAGGACGUGCGGAAGAAACUGCAGGGCUGGAGUCCGGGAGAGGAGGGUGGAAUUCCUGGUGUAGCGGUGAAAUGCGCAGAUAUCAGGAGGAACACCAGCGGCGAAGGCGGCGCUCUGGGCCGGUACUGACACUGAGGAGCGAAAGCGUGGGUAGCAAACAGG
RNAcentral lists this ribosomal RNA (253 nucleotides) under uncultured bacterium. RNAcentral describes it as "partial 16S ribosomal RNA". It matches the Rfam family "Bacterial small subunit ribosomal RNA", at positions 524 to 776 of the family's 1533-position model. The record is from RNAcentral.